RNAcentral lists this ribosomal RNA (288 nucleotides) under uncultured bacterium. RNAcentral describes it as "partial 16S ribosomal RNA". It matches the Rfam family "Bacterial small subunit ribosomal RNA", at positions 773 to 1060 of the family's 1533-position model. The record is from RNAcentral.
GUGGAUUAGAUACCCCAGUAGUCCUGGCAGUAAACGGUGCACGCUUGGUGUGAGGGGAAUCGACCCCCCUUGUGCCGGAGCAAACGCGUUAAGCGUGCCGCCUGGGAAGUACGGUCGCAAGACUAAAACUCAAAGAAAUUGACGGGGACCCGCACAAGCGGUGGAGUAUGUGGCUUAAUUCGAUGCAACGCGAAGAACCUUACCAAGGCUUGACAUGCAUCUCUAAGCGCGUGAAAGCGCGUGACCCUUCGGGGGAUUUGCACAGGUGCUGCAUGGCCGUCGUCAGCU